Molecule: transfer RNA, 72 nt
Filed under: Ictidomys tridecemlineatus (thirteen-lined ground squirrel)
Lineage: Eukaryota; Metazoa; Chordata; Mammalia; Rodentia; Sciuridae
Description: Spermophilus tridecemlineatus (thirteen-lined ground squirrel) tRNA
Rfam family: tRNA
About the family: Transfer RNA (tRNA) molecules are approximately 80 nucleotides in length. Their secondary structure includes four short double-helical elements and three loops (D, anti-codon, and T loops).
Source: Rfam by way of RNAcentral
GGGGUUGUGGCUCAGCGGUAGAGCGCUCCCCUAGCAUGGGUGAAGCACUGGGUUCGAUCCUCAGCACCACCU